GCCCCGCCCCGCCGCACCUGCACCUGCACAGCCCGCGUGGGCCCGUCCCGCCGCACCUGCACCUCCACAGCCCGCGUGGGCCCGCCUCGCCGCACCUGCACCUGCACAGACCGCGUGGGCCCGCCCCGCCGCACCUGAAGUGCACCACCAUGGGCCCGGCCCGCGGCUCGCUGCUGUGGGCCCGGUUCAUCUCGUCCCGGAAGCCGAGGACACCGGCGGGAUCGGCCCGGACGCCGUGGUCCGGCCAGCCGAAGUACUGGAAGUGCUGCACCGUACGCUGUGACUCCUCCUGAGCGGGGCAGGCGCUGCCUAAGAGGGAUCCCUGUCCUGUGAUCACGUGACUUGCUUCACCUUGUCCAUCACUUAGAAGAUUCACCCUCCUUACCCUGCCUCCUUGUCUUGUAUGCAGUAAAUAUCAGUGAGCCCAGCCGUUGGGGCCACUACCGGUCUCCGUGUCUUUGUGGUAGUGGUCCCCGGGGCCCAGCUGUUUUCUCUUUA
Molecule: long non-coding RNA, 498 nt
Organism: Pongo pygmaeus (Bornean orangutan)
Lineage: Eukaryota; Metazoa; Chordata; Mammalia; Primates; Hominidae
Exons: 2
Source: RefSeq, a predicted model, not a curated record